This 253-nucleotide ribosomal RNA is filed under the name uncultured bacterium. RNAcentral describes it as "partial 16S ribosomal RNA". It matches the Rfam family "Bacterial small subunit ribosomal RNA", at positions 524 to 776 of the family's 1533-position model. The record is from RNAcentral.
UACAGAGGGUGCAAGCGUUGUUCGGAAUUAUUGGGCGUAAAGCGCGUGUAGGCGGCUUUGCAAGUCGGGUGUGAAAGCCCUCAGCUCAACUGAGGAAGUGCGCCCGAAACUGCAUGGCUUGAGUACCGGAGAGGAUGGUGGAAUUCCCCAAGUAGAGGUGAAAUUCGUAGAUAUGGGGAGGAACACCGGUGGCGAAGGCGACCAUCUGGACGGAUACUGACGCUGAGACGCAAAAGCGUGGGUAGCAAACAGG